AACGAACGCUGGCGGCAUGCCUAACACAUGCAAGUCGAACGAGACCUUCGGGUCUAGUGGCGCACGGGUGCGUAACGCGUGGGAACCUGCCCUUAAGUUCGGAAUACUCCCCGAAAGGGGUGCUAAUACCGGAUAAUGUCUUCGGACCAAAGAUUUAUCGCCUUUGGAUGGGCCCGCGUUGGAUUAGCUAGUUGGUAGGGUAAAAGCCUACUAAGGCGACGAUCCAUAGCUGGUCUGAGAGGAUGAUCAGCCACACUGGGACUGAGACACGGCCCAGACUCCUACGGGAGGCAGCAGUGGGGAAUAUUGGACAAUGGGCGAAAGCCUGAUCCAGCAAUGCCGCGUGAGUGAUGAAGGCCUUAGGGUUGUAAAGCUCUUUUACCCGGGAUGAUAAUGACAGUACCGGGAGAAUAAGCUCCGGCUAACUCCGUG
RNAcentral lists this ribosomal RNA (432 nucleotides) under uncultured bacterium. RNAcentral describes it as "partial 16S ribosomal RNA". It matches the Rfam family "Bacterial small subunit ribosomal RNA", at positions 29 to 507 of the family's 1533-position model. The record is from RNAcentral.